AACUUUCAGCAACGGAUCUCUUGGCUCUCGCAUCGAUGAAGAACGCAGCGAAAUGCGAUAAGUAAUGUGAAUUGCAGAAUUCAGUGAAUCAUGGAAUCUUUGAACGCACCUUGCGCUCUUUGGUAUUCCUACGGGCAUGCCUGUUUGAGUGUCAUUAAAAUAUCAAACUUGACCUGGGUUUUGUUCUCUCGUGUUUGCUUGGAAUUGGGUGCUUGCCGCUUUUACGAGCGGCUCACCUUAAAUGUAUUAGCUGGAUCUGUCUUUGAGACUUGGUUUGACUUGGCGUAAUAAGUAUUUCGCUAAGGACAUUCUUCGGAGUGGCCUCGUUUCUAGGACGCUUGUCCGCUUCCCAAUACAAGUUCCACCUCGUGGACAUGACUUUUUAUUAUCUGGCCUCAAAUCAGGUAGGACUACCCGCUGAACUUAAGCAUAUCAAUAAGCGGAGGCU
Molecule: unclassified non-coding RNA, 448 nt
Filed under: uncultured Cryptococcus
Lineage: Eukaryota; Fungi; Basidiomycota; Tremellomycetes
Description: sequence contains ITS2
Rfam family: 5.8S ribosomal RNA (bases 1-154)
Source: RNAcentral